RNAcentral lists this long non-coding RNA (1753 nucleotides) under Homo sapiens (human). RNAcentral describes it as "HSALNT0168471". Lineage: Eukaryota; Metazoa; Chordata; Mammalia; Primates; Hominidae. The record is from RNAcentral.
AAGAGACUCUGGAAUCCCUCUUACCACCAUGAAGGCAACGUCUGCCUGAGGAUAAAAGAAAGAAGAUCAGGAAAUGAAGUCAGGCUGCAAUCAGGAGAGAGAAAUACCAUCAGAAAUUUAACGAGAAAAAAUGUAAUAUAAAGAGUUAUCAACUGGUAAUAAGGAACUAGCAACUGGGACUGGGAGGAGAUAAAAGAGAACUCUGAAGAAUAACCUAAGAGUCGGGGAGAGUGACCAAGAAAAGAACAAACUUGGAAGCUUAAUAGCGUAUCCAUAUUUUGCGGGAUUUCUGAAGGAGCUGCAUGGGUUCCAGUUGCCCUACUAAUUGAAUGAAUUUGGAAACUCGUGCUUGACCUGAACCCUCGGGCGGCGCCGUUCCCAGUGGGGAAAGAGACUGUUUGGAGACAUCGCCCUCCAGUGACAGCACUCGGGAACUGUUGAGAGGCCUGGGUACACCUUUGCUUCCCAUUGAUUGUUCCUCUAAGAACAGGGGUGCUCUGAGCCCGUUCCAGCCUGUGAAAGCUCCCUUGAGUUCGUUGUACGUUUGUCCUUGCCCGGAUGUGUCGGCAACACGCUUGGAGGCAUAAACAGAACAAAACUUCAGACGUGUUCUUAACUGUCAGGAGUAACAGUUGCAGAUAAAAGCUGCAGAAUUGCUCAAUACUGGGAAGGCUGAGCACAACUAGAAUUAUUCCGAUCCAAGGCAUGCCCUCACUCCUCACAGGAUGGCAAGGAGAAACGAUCAAUCGCUUAAGUAAUAAAAAACAUCCAAAUCAGACCCGUCUGCAGUCAGAAUCCACAGCAGUCCUUCCGCAGCACAGCAGUCCUUCUGCAGCACAGCACUGCCUCCGCCGGCCGCCUUCCUUCCCUCGGAACUGAGCCCAUCCAGGGCUGCAGAGCGGCCUGCAGUCCCUGGUGGCAACAGCACUUAGCGGCGCCUCAUGUUUAAUGCAAGCAAGCUUCGGAAACAGGAAAGCUUUCAAGAUACAGCUGAAGAUGCACGAGCGCUGCCCUUUACAGAGCAAACACGAAUGUACAAAACCAACGUGGGUUUUCCUGUGUUACAAUAAUUGUGUUCUCAUCUGUACAGAUUUAAGCUAACCGCUUCUGUCAGAAGAAAGGAGAAAUCUAUAUCCAAGGGCCUCUGUGGCCUAGAGAGGCCUGAGUCACCUCUGCUUUUUGAGUCUCCUAGUAAUUUUAAAAUGAAAAAAUUCCGGCCGGGCGCGAUGGCUCAUGCCUGUAAUCCCAGAACUUUGGGAGGCAGAGGCGGGCGGAUCUCCUGAGGUCAGGAGUUCGAGACCAGCCUGGCUAACAUGGUGAAACCCCAUUUCUACUAAAAACACAAAAAAUUAGCGGGGCAUGGUGGCACGCGCCUGUAAUCCCAGCUGCUCAGGAGGCAGAGACAGAAGAAUCGCUUGAACCCGGGAGGCGGAGGUUGCACUGAGCCAAGAUUGUGCCACUGCACUCCAGCUUGGGCAACAACAGCGAAACUCCAUCUCCAAAAAGAAAAACGAAAAAAUACUAAAAUAGGUUAUACAAUUUGUAGUUCAUUUGUAAAUGCUCAUCAUUAGCAAGUUAAUAUUUUUAGCACAAAAGAGAUAAUGCAAUAUAAUUGUGCUAGUUACUAGCUAAUUACAGGAUUUGUAAAAAGUAAUCAUUCCUAGUGUGCUAUAAGUAAUGGGGCACAGGUGUAUAGCUGUAUUUUGAAUAACUUCUUUAACCUGUUAGGAUGUGAUUCCUUUGGGAAAAAAAA